This 487-nucleotide ribosomal RNA is filed under the name uncultured bacterium. Its description in RNAcentral is "partial 16S ribosomal RNA". It matches the Rfam family "Bacterial small subunit ribosomal RNA", at positions 29 to 523 of the family's 1533-position model. The record is from RNAcentral.
AGUGAACGCUGGCGGCGUGCUUAACACAUGCAAGUCGAACGAGAACGGGUUAUAGCUUGCUAUAAUUGUCAGCUAAGUGGCGCACGGGUGAGUAAUGUAUAGGUAAUAUGCCUCUUACUAAGGGAUAACAAAUGGAAACGUUUGCUAAUACCUUAUACUCCUUAUUAACAGAAGUUAAUAAGGGAAAGAUUUAUUGGUAAGAGAUUAGCCUGUAUUGUAUCAGUUAGUUGGUGGGGUAAUGGCUUACCAAGACUAUGACACAUAACUGGUUUGAGAGGAUGAUCAGUCACACUGGAACUGAGACACGGUCCAGACUCCUACGGGAGGCAGCAGUGGGGAAUAUUGCGCAAUGGACGAAAGUCUGACGGAGCGACGCCGCGUGAUGGAUGAAGUCCCUCGGGACGUAAACAUCUUUUAUGAGGGAGGAAGUUAUUGACGUUACCUCAUGAAUAAGGGGUUGCUAAACUCGUGCCAGCAGCCGCCGUAA